CGGAUGGGCAUGCGGCGCAUUAGCUAGUCGGCGGGGUAACGGCCCACCGAGGCGACGAUGCGUAGGGGUUCUGAGAGGAAGGUCCCCCACACUGGUACUGAGACACGGACCAGACUCCUACGGGAGGCAGCAGUGAGGAAUAUUGGUCAAUGGGCGCGAGCCUGAACCAGCCAAGUCGCGUGAGGGAUGACGGUCCUACGGAUUGUAAACCUCUUUUGCCGGGGAGCAAGCGUGCGUUCGUGAACGCGCGUCGAGAGUACCCGGAGAAAAAGCAUCGGCUAACUCCGUGCCAGCAGCCGCGGUAAUACGGAGGAUGCGAGCGUUAUCCGGAUUUAUUGGGUUUAAAGGGUGCGUAGGCGGGAUGCCAAGUCAGCGGUAAAAAUGCGGUGCUCAACGCCGUCGAGCCGUUGAAACUGGCGUUCUUGAGUGGGCGAGAAGUAUGCGGAAUGCGUGGUGUAGCGGUGAAAUGCAUAGAUAUCACGCAGAACUCCGAUUGCGAAGGCAGCAUACCGGCGCCCUACUGACGCUGAGGCACGAAAGCGUGGGUAUCGAACAGGAUUAGAUACCCUGGUAGUCCACGCAGUAAACGAUGAAUGCUAACUGUCCGGCUCGAAUGAGCGCUGG
Molecule: ribosomal RNA, 624 nt
Filed under: uncultured bacterium
Lineage: Bacteria
Description: bacterial SSU rRNA
Rfam family: Bacterial small subunit ribosomal RNA
Source: RNAcentral